ACCCGCUGAACUUAAGCAUAUCAAUAAGCGGAGGAAAAGAAACCAACAGGGAUUGCCCUAGUAACGGCGAGUGAAGCGGCAACAGCUCAAAUUUGAAAUCUGGCGCAAGCCCGAGUUGUAAUUUGUAGAGGAUGCUUCUGGCCAGCGGCCGUUCUAAGUUCCUUGGAACAGGACGUCAUAGAGGGUGAGAAUCCCGUAUGUGACCGGCGCGCAGCCUUUACGUAGCUCCCUCGACGAGUCGAGUUGUUUGGGAAUGCAGCUCUAAAUGGGAGGUAAAUUUCUUCUAAAGCUAAAUACCGGCCAGAGACCGAUAGCGCACAAGUAGAGUGAUCGAAAGAUGAAAAGCACUUUGGAAAGAGAGUUAAAAAGCACGUGAAAUUGUUGAAAGGGAAGCGCUUGCAACCAGACUUCGUAGCGAUGUUCCGCUGGUCUUCUGACCGGUCUACUCAUCGUCGCGAGGCCAACAUCGUCUGGGCCCGCUGGAUAAGACCUAAGGAAUGUAGCUUCCCUCGGGAAGUGUUAUAGCCUGUGGUGAUGCAGCGUGGCUCGGGCGAGGUCCGCGCUUCGGCAAGGAUGUUGGCGUAAUGGUUGUCAGCGGCCCGUCUUGAAACACGGACCAAGGAGUCUAACAUCUAUGCGAGUGUUCGGGUGUCAAACCCCUACGCGUAAUGAAAGUGAACGGAGGUGGGAAGCGCAAGCUGCACCAUCGACCGAUCCUGAUGUCCUCGGAUGGAUUUGAGUAAGAGCAUAGCUGUUGGGACCCGAAAGAUGGUGAACUAUGCCUGAAUAGGGUGAAGCCAGAGGAAACUCUGGUGGAGGCUCGCAGCGGUUCUGACGUGCAAAUCGAUCGUCAAAUUUGGGUAUAGGGGCGAAAGACUAAUCGAACCAUCUAGUAGCUGGUUCCUGCCGAA
This 911-nucleotide ribosomal RNA is filed under the name Pseudocercosporella bakeri. RNAcentral describes it as "eukaryotic LSU rRNA". It matches the Rfam family "Eukaryotic large subunit ribosomal RNA", at positions 23 to 965 of the family's 3401-position model. The record is from RNAcentral. Lineage: Eukaryota; Fungi; Ascomycota; Dothideomycetes; Mycosphaerellales; Mycosphaerellaceae.